This 273-nucleotide ribosomal RNA is filed under the name uncultured bacterium. RNAcentral's name for it is "partial 16S ribosomal RNA". It matches the Rfam family "Bacterial small subunit ribosomal RNA", at positions 524 to 796 of the family's 1533-position model. The record is from RNAcentral.
UACGGAGGGUGCGAGCGUUGUCCGGAUUUAUUGGGUUUAAAGGGUGCGUAGGCGGCCGAUUAAGUCUGGGGUGAAAGCCCGCUGCUCAACAGCGGAACUGCCCUGGAUACUGGUUGGCUUGAGUACAGACGAGGUUGGCGGAAUGGACAGAGUAGCGGUGAAAUGCAUAGAUACUGUCCAGAACCCCGAUUGCGAAGGCAGCUGACUAGGCUGAUACUGACGCUGAGGCACGAAAGCGUGGGGAGCGAACAGGAUUAGAUACCCCCGUAGUCC